This 492-nucleotide ribosomal RNA is filed under the name uncultured bacterium. RNAcentral's name for it is "partial 16S ribosomal RNA". It matches the Rfam family "Bacterial small subunit ribosomal RNA", at positions 29 to 507 of the family's 1533-position model. The record is from RNAcentral.
AGUGAACGCUGGCGGUAGGCCUAACACAUGCAAGUCGAACGGCAGCACAGUAAGAGCUUGCUCUUACGGGUGGCGAGUGGCGGACGGGUGAGGAAUACAUCGGAAUCUACUUUUUCGUGGGGGAUAACGUAGGGAAACUUACGCUAAUACCGCAUACGACCUACGGGUGAAAGCAGGGGAUCUUCGGACCUUGCGCGAUUGAAUGAGCCGAUGUCGGAUUAGCUAGUUGGCGGGGUAAAGGCCCACCAAGGCGACGAUCCGUAGCUGGUCUGAGAGGAUGAUCAGCCACAAUGGAACUGAGACACGGUCCAGACUCCUACGGGAGGCAGCAGUGGGGAAUAUUGGACAAUGGGCGCAAGCCUGGUCCAGCCAUACCGCGUGGGUGAAGAAGGCCUUCGGGUUGUAAAGCCCUUUUGUUGGGAAAGAAAAGCGGCAGGUUAAAACCCCGCUGUUCUGACGGUACCCAAAGAAUAAGCACCGGCUAACUUCGUG